This 2712-nucleotide ribosomal RNA is filed under the name Triticum aestivum (bread wheat). RNAcentral's name for it is "partial small subunit ribosomal RNA". The record is from RNAcentral. Lineage: Eukaryota; Viridiplantae; Streptophyta; Magnoliopsida; Poales; Poaceae.
AUGGGCCGGCCCAUGUGGGCACGAAGGGGGAGCUUGGGAUGCGCGCUCGCUGCGUUCCCGACGCCCUAUAGGAGCUCCCGAUGCAGAGGACCGACUUCGAGAAGUCGCGGCGGUAAAUAUCUUGGCCUACUGACGCUGGAUGGGCGUAUGCAUAAGGGGAGAUUUCAGAUGUUGCAAGCAAGCUUGACCAAGAGGAUCAUGGCAUGGGGGGACACCCUCACAAAGGCAGGAAAGGAGACCCUAAUUAAAUCUAUCUUGCAGGCCAUCCCAACCUAUAUAAUGGGGGUGUUUAAAUUGCCAUAUUCUGUUUGUGAUGACCUUGUUGGAAUAAGCCACGGCAUCUGGUGCAGUCGGGCUCGUUGGGCGCGUCGGGUGCACGCGGGACGUGCGGGACGCAUUGGUGGUGCGGUCAGGCUCGUCGGGCGUGUCGAGUGCGUGCCGGACAUGCGGGAGAUGUGUAGUGUGAGCUGCGUACGUGUGUAUAGGGAGACUGAGUCGGAGUUAGUUGGCAUCCUGGCAUGGGUAGGGCAAGGAUGGAGUACGUGCUCUAGUGGUCCUCUUCCUCCUCGAGUGCAAGGCGAGUGCAGAGGUGAGAGAGAGAGGGCGGCAACAACAAUUGGUAUCAUGAGCUUGGUCGUCUUGGGCCAUGCCGGAGGCGUGCCGGCGAUGGCGGCGUUCGUCGGCGGCUGCGCGGAGCUCCGGGCCGUGUGUCGGCCUGUGAAGGUGCGCGGCGCGACAGCUGUCAUGGCGGAUGCGGAGGUGGUGCGCGGUGAGUCCGCGACGAGCACGGCGGACAUGGAGGUCGAGGCGGUGUGGUUGCGGCGCAUGGCGGCGACGACGGCGGCGGGCCGGGCGCAACCGGUGCGUGUUAUGGGUGCGCACUGGAUGCGUCGGGAGCGUCGGGACCGCGGGAGUGGACUGCGUCGGGGCGCUGGAUCUGGUCGCUCAGAUCGCGUACGUGCGCGGCGGGAGCGCGGGGACGUGGGGAGUGCGCGCGAAGAGCAUAACGGUCGUGGAGACGUGAAGGUCGCGAAGGACCUGCGUGGUGGCGCAGAGGUCGCGGCGCCUCGGCGCGACAACCGUGGAGGCGCGCAGUACGGAGACGCGGCGAGCGGCGACUUGUGCCGAAGACGCAGCGGAGGAGUCCACGGCGCCGAGACGACAUCGACAAGGCAGGGCUCCUGCAGGCAGGCCGUGCGGCGACGUCGUGGCUUAGGGGAGCGUGUUGGAAUAAGCCACGGCAUCUGGUGCAGUCAGGUUCGUCGGACGCGUCGGAUGCGCGCGGGACGUGUGGGACGCACUGGUGGUGCGGUCGGGCUCGUCGGGCGCGUCGAGUGCGCGCGAGACAUGCGGGAGAUGUGUAGUAAUGGGGCAUUAGUGCGCCCACAUUCGUGCGCCGGCCGGGAAAGUCAUUGUGUUUGUGUGUCCUUCUUCCUCCUCCAGUCCUCUUCCUCCUCGAGUGCAAGGCGAGUGCAGAGGCGAGAGAGAGAGGGCGGCAACAACAGACCUCACGCGGCUAAUGUACAGUGCAUCUUGUCGAUCAAGGCCAGCCCACGGCGACUGGAGGAUGUCCUCUCAUGGGCGCCAGAUACACGAGGUGUCUUCAGUGUUCGAAGUGCGUACAAGCUCGCGCUGGAGGACUGUACCCGCACCACUACAUGUGCCACGAGCAGGGCACCGGACGGCACGCAUGUCGUCUGGAAGGCAGUGUGGGGGUGCCCUGCCCCUCCACAGGCACGAGUUUUUGCAUGGAGGGUCGCGACAAAUUCGUUGGCCACUCUUCAAAACAAAAAGAAAAGAAAGCUAGAGAUUUCUGAUACAUGUGCUCUAUGUGGUAUGGAAUGCAAGGACACGUUCCACACUCUUUGUAGGUGCCCUUUAGCUCAGCGGCUAUGGACUGCGAUGGCGCACAUAUGGAGGAUGCCCAAGGUGGAAGCUAUCAUGAACACCGGCCCUGAGUGGAUCAUCCACCUGCUUGAUGGUUGUUCUGCGGAUGUACGUCUACCGAUAAUCAUGACCUUGUGGCGGAACUGGCAUGUUAGAAACGAGGUUUAUCAUAACAAACCGGCACCACCAGUGGAGGCAUCUUGUAGGUUCUUGUGUGGCUACAUCAACUCACUGGUGGCCAUACAGCAGCACCCGCAUGCUGAUGAUUCAAAGGGGAAAACUGUGGUUGCUUAUAGAGGCCAGGAGGGGAGCCACAAGUCGCCUGUGGUGAGGCCGAGCAAAUCGCCGGAGCGUUGGAAUAAGCCGCCUCCUGGGUGGGUGAAAUUAAACGUUGAUGGCUCAUGGCGGCAGGAGGAUGAAACAGGGGGCGCUGGUAUGAUACUUCGCGACCACACAAGCUCUAUUAUCUUUGCGACGUGCCGUUUCAUCCAAAGAUGUACAAGUGCUCUAGAGGCGGAGAUCGCGGCCAUUCUGGAGGGUGUGUCGCUAGCAAUGGAUAGAAGCAAUGAACAUAUAAUGGUGGAGACGGACUGCAUGGUGGCUACACGGAUGAUCACGGCUCAGGUCCUAGAUAGAUCCUUGCUAGCUCCCAUGGUCAAUGAUAUCAGGCACCUCCUGAGUAGCAGAUCACAUGAAAUAAUGGCCAUCGGAAGGGACCAAAACAAGGCGAGCCAUGCCCUGGCUCACAUGGGGCAUGGUCACUGGAUGCAGGCCUUGUCCGGAGAUGUGGGGGAUGGGGGGUCCGAAAUACGAUGCAGCCCCUGA